This 770-nucleotide long non-coding RNA is filed under the name Astyanax mexicanus (Mexican tetra). RNAcentral describes it as "lncRNA (ENSAMXG00005018862.1)". The record is from RNAcentral. Lineage: Eukaryota; Metazoa; Chordata; Actinopteri; Characiformes; Acestrorhamphidae.
GAGACCUGUUGAGGUGUGGGAGCUUCAGGGUGUUGCCUCAGCUUCAUCCAGCCGUCUGACCUGCUGAACGUGUUCAGAUCCGCCGGAGAACCGAGUUUAACCCAGGCUGAGGUGAAUCUACGUAGCCAUGGCGCAGAUUUUGGCAGCGGUCUUUAUGACAUUUGUGUCCCUUGUCUUUGCAGAGGACCAGAAAACAGAGGAUGAUCCGUUCACAUUUGGAGGAGGACUGGAAGUAACGCUGCUACUCAACAAAUGCUCAAUGACACAGCAAGGGCCAGUGAAUGCUAAAUGCUAACCAGUGGCCCAGCUACCCAGUGUCUACCUGACUGGAGGAGGAGGGAACAGUGGAGAUCCUGCAGUACCUUAUUCCACCACAGAAGUGCUGAAAACAUGCUAGCGUCUCUCUUUCUAAGGAUGAGGCUAUAUGUCCUAUAGAUGCUGUAGUUGUUUGUUAUUUUUUAUUUACCACCUAUUUGCUGCUUACACGACUCCCUGUUUGAAAAUGCGACACAUCUUGUAGUAUCUGUGUUUUUUGGGCUUUUGCCUCGUAUUUAAUUUGACUGACUUUGAACUGAUUACCAAAAAAACACCUUAUGAAUCGCCAGUUGUUGAGUUAUCGUAUUUCUAAUACAUGUUCACUAAACCGUCUCGACUUUAGGCGCCACCUGACCUUGUUUUGAAAUGUCGUUUGUCUUGUUCAUCAGUUUUAGCAAUACAAUGAAAUUCUUAACCAAAAACAAUAAAAAUGUAACAAUAAAAGUUUAAGAAGU